UACGUAGGUGGCAAGCGUUAUCCGGAAUCAUUGGGCGUAAAGGGUGCGUAGGUGGCGUACUAAGUCUGUAGUAAAAGGCAAUGGCUCAACCAUUGUAAGCUAUGGAAACUGGUAUGCUGGAGUGCAGAAGAGGGCGAUGGAAUUCCAUGUGUAGCGGUAAAAUGCGUAGAUAUAUGGAGGAACACCAGUGGCGAAGGCGGUCGCCUGGUCUGUAACUGACACUGAGGCACGAAAGCGUGGGGAGCAAAUAGG
Molecule: ribosomal RNA, 252 nt
Filed under: [Clostridium] innocuum
Lineage: Bacteria; Bacillati; Bacillota; Clostridia; Eubacteriales; Clostridiaceae
Also listed under: 1 other name
Description: partial 16S ribosomal RNA
Rfam family: Bacterial small subunit ribosomal RNA
Source: RNAcentral